CAGUCGCCGCGGUAAUACGUAUGUCACAAGCGUUAUCCGGAUUUAUUGGGCGUAAAGCGCGUCUAGGUGGUUAUGUAAGUCUGAUGUGAAAAUGCAGGGCUCAACCCUGUAUUGCGUUGGAAACUGUGUAACUAGAGUACUGGAGAGGUAAGCGGAACUACAAGUGUAGAGGUGAAAUUCGUAGAUAUUUGUAGGAAUGCCGAUGGGGAAGCCAGCUUACUGGACAGGUACUGACGCUGAAGCGCGAAAGCGUGGGUAGCAAACAGGAUUAGAUACCCCAGUAGUCCCUGUCUCUUAUACA
Molecule: ribosomal RNA, 301 nt
Filed under: uncultured bacterium
Lineage: Bacteria
Description: partial 16S ribosomal RNA
Rfam family: Bacterial small subunit ribosomal RNA
Source: RNAcentral